Molecule: long non-coding RNA, 1767 nt
Filed under: Homo sapiens (human)
Lineage: Eukaryota; Metazoa; Chordata; Mammalia; Primates; Hominidae
Description: non-protein coding lnc-ANP32A-3:9
Source: RNAcentral
GUAAGCGGAUGGGCUCGGCCUCAAGGACAGGGUGCUCGGCUGAAAAAAAAGCUAGCGGCGAUCACCGGUGCCAGGGCUCUCCAGAAACGGAGCCCAUCUAACCAAUGCCCAGCACACUCGCUCUGCUCCACACACGAGACCACCUCCGACCCGCACUAAGUUGGCCAACUGCACUCUGGAGGCGGCGGCAGCCAGCGAGGGAGAAGGGAAAGGCUGUCCCGGGACCCCGAGGAGGACUGCCCCGCCCCCGGGAACCGGGUGCGGCGUAAAACAACCCCGGCUCCGGGCCGACCCUUCCUGGCCCCUUGGAGGCCCAGGCGGGGCGGCGGGGGGCGACGCGGCAGGGGUCUCCGCGCCCAGGCUCCCGCGGAGCGGCCACACGUGGAGGUUCCCACUUUGGGGUCGCGGCCGCAGCAGCACCGGGCGGGAUGCUGUCCGCGCUGCCCGCGUACGGCCGCGGCCUGAGUGGAGACGCCUGCCCCCAGCCCCGAGGCCUCGGCCCCCGUCCGCCCUCUCUCCCUGCUCGGCGGCCUCGUACUCACGCUGACUUCAUGGCAGCAGGCUCCACGCCGCCCAAACGCGCAUGCGGGACGGCUGGCUGGCGAAGACUGCGGGACGUUAGGACCGGCAGCAAGAACUAGAACUUCGCGGCUAAGGCGCGGUGCUCUGCGAAGCCGGCGGCGACGCUAAGAGCCCAGGUGAGCUCCCGCCUGGCGCAUUUCAAACGGGCCAAUCAGCGCCCGUCCGCAGGGAGAGGCAGGACCUCCGCGGAAGUGACUUCGCUGCCGGAAGUGGCGCUUGUCUCCUAGGCGACCGACGCUGAAAGGGCCGCGGAGUCGCGUGUCAGGGCUGGAGGGAGAUCUUGAGAUCACUUCAAACUUAAGUGAGCUCAGGUUCAUCUGGAGGAUGACUCGGCCUCUGUUCUCUCGUCCCACCUGACGAGAAAUACCCACAGGUGUGGAGGGGCUGGCCCCCUUCACCUGGGUCUCGACUCCUGUUUUGUUCUGCGGUUCCCAUUGCAGUGCUGUGACCCCCCAGAAGCUCAGGAAAACAACUGACUUCCUGGUGUUGCCAACAGGCAGAGAGGAGAUGCAGCCAGUCCUUACCCUGUAGAAGAUGGGGAGGGAGUCCCAGGUGUACGGAUAAGCAAAGGCGAGGACACGAAUCACCUUACAGAGUCUGGGCUUCUGGAUUUCAAGAAACCUAAAUCAGGGAAGGAAAGUGGGGAGGAAAUGGAAUGAAAAGAGUCUCAGCAAAUUGCAUACGCACAUGCAUGCACACCGAGGGCCUGGUCAUCAACAGAGGACAAGCAUUUUUCUACAAGCUCCUGUGGCCAGCAGCUUCUCCACCAGCCUCGUCCAUUCCUCCCACCCCAAUGGAAGUGACAAAACUUCAGAUGCAAAAAGAUCUCCAGGGACACCAUCUCCUGACCAUGGGAAGCAGUGGUGUCCAGACUAAGCCAGAAAGGAGGCGCUGGGCAGAAACCCUUCAAGGGCCAAGUUAUGUAACUGCCAAAGAACCUUUUAAAACUCUAGUUGCUACAGGGACAGGGAACGGGUAGGGGGAAUCGGGGGAUCCACUGCCACAGACUCUUGGGGGGCACACUCUGCAGAGGCUGAGAUGCACCCAUCUAGUUGGAGCCCAGGUAUUAUCAUGCAGGAGACCUGGGUUCAAGUAGGUGUUUGACCCUUGGAGAGCUUUCUGGAAUAUUUAUACCACACACAGGGAUACUUGGCUUGGGAAAACUAAAUAAACGUGAAGUCUUUC